This is a long non-coding RNA of Solanum stenotomum, 186 nucleotides long. RefSeq lists it as uncharacterized. The transcript has 3 exons. The record is from RefSeq and is a predicted model, not a curated record. Lineage: Eukaryota; Viridiplantae; Streptophyta; Magnoliopsida; Solanales; Solanaceae.
GCAGAUGUGUGAGGAAUGGAAACUAUGAUGAAGCUCUUGAUUUAGAAGCAUUUGUUUCCAAGCUUUCAGCAAUGCACCCCAAGUUACCAGUCAUUCAAGCCCUUGCUGCAGAAGUUCGGCAGACCACUCAAUCUCUUCUUUCUCAGCUUCUCCAAAGACUUAGGUCAAACAUUGAGUUGCCAGAAU